CAGUGUCCCAAUGUCUCUCAGUGUCCCCUAGUGUCCUAGUGACAUUGUGACACUGGGAGACAUGGGGACACAGACACUAAGGGACACUGGGAGACAUGGAAACACA
Molecule: microRNA precursor, 106 nt
Filed under: Pelobates cultripes (western spadefoot toad)
Lineage: Eukaryota; Metazoa; Chordata; Amphibia; Anura; Pelobatidae
Source: RNAcentral